This 70-nucleotide transfer RNA is filed under the name Bos taurus (domestic cattle). It matches the Rfam family "tRNA". Rfam says of the family: Transfer RNA (tRNA) molecules are approximately 80 nucleotides in length. The record is from Rfam by way of RNAcentral. Lineage: Eukaryota; Metazoa; Chordata; Mammalia; Artiodactyla; Bovidae. RNAcentral also lists the same sequence under 3 other names.
UCCCUAGUAGCUCAGAUGGUAAAGCAUCUGCCUGCAAUGCAGAAGACUGGGUUCAAUCCCUGAUCAGGAA